CAAUGGCUUUGUUUUUCCAUUCCCAGGGAUGAUUAGCAUAUGCAGAGUGUCAGCUGUAUUUCUGAAGGUGUCAGCUGGAGUUUCCAGGCCGACAAAAUUCUAAUGGAAGGCUGUGGCUGUGACAGAUAUGCUGGCAACGACAGAAUGAUAGGCUGCCGGAAAAUGCUUGCAAAAAUGUGAUUUAUUCCUCUCAGUGGAUCUGCGGCACAUUCACGAAGAGCAUAGGAGGAAUAUCAAGACAAAAUGGUAUUUUCCAGUAAUGAAGGAAUAAACCUGGAUAUCCACAA
Pantherophis guttatus is the source of this 287-nucleotide long non-coding RNA. RefSeq lists it as uncharacterized. The record is from RefSeq and is a predicted model, not a curated record. Lineage: Eukaryota; Metazoa; Chordata; Lepidosauria; Squamata; Colubridae.